CCAAUAGCGUAUAUUAAAGUUGUUGCAGUUAAAAAGCUCGUAGUUGAAUUUCGGGAUCAACAUGUCGGUCGUGCCUCUGGUACGUACUGGUAUCGUUGAUUUCUACCUUCUGACGAACUAUGAUGUCAUUAAUUUGGUGUCAUGGGGAAUCAGGACUGUUACUUUGAAAAAAUUAGAGUGUUUAAAGCAGGCACACGCUUGGAUACAUUAGCAUGGAAUAAUGAAAUAGGACGUUUGAUCCUAUUUUGUUGGUUUCUAGGAUCGACGUAAUGAUUAAUAGGGAUAGUUGGGGGCAUUAGUAUUCAAUUGUCAGAGGUGAAAUUCUUGGAUUUAUUGAAGACUAACUACUGCGAAAGCAUUUGCCAAGGAUGUUUUCAUUAAUCAAGAACGAAAGUUAGGGGAUCGAAGACGAUCAGAUACCGUCGUAGUCUUAACCAUAAACUAUGCCGACUAGGGAUCGGAUGAUGUUAAUUUUUUAAUGACUCAUUCGGCGCCUUACG
RNAcentral lists this ribosomal RNA (500 nucleotides) under uncultured Glomeromycotina. RNAcentral's name for it is "partial small subunit ribosomal RNA". It matches the Rfam family "Eukaryotic small subunit ribosomal RNA", at positions 591 to 1092 of the family's 1831-position model. Lineage: Eukaryota; Fungi; Glomeromycota. The record is from RNAcentral.